RNAcentral lists this ribosomal RNA (375 nucleotides) under Hyalomma anatolicum. RNAcentral's name for it is "partial large subunit ribosomal RNA". The stretch from base 244 to 375 matches the Rfam family "Archaeal large subunit ribosomal RNA", at positions 2542 to 2674 of the family's 2987-position model. The record is from RNAcentral. Lineage: Eukaryota; Metazoa; Arthropoda; Arachnida; Ixodida; Ixodidae.
UUUAAUUGAAUGCUAAAAGAAUGGAAAUUUAAAAAAAAACUUUUUUAAAAAUAAAAAUUGAAUUUUUUUUAAUUUGUGCAAAAACAAUUAUUAUUAUUAAAGACAAGAAGACCCUAAGAAUUUAUGAUUUUACAAUUAGAAUUUUUUUCAAAAAAUCUUGAUUGGGGCGAUCAAAAAAUAUUAAUAACUUUUUAAAUUUAAAUUGAUCUAUUAUUAAUAAACUAAUGAAUUAAAUACUCUAGGGAUAACAGCGUAAUAAUUUUUGAUAGAUCUUAUUGACAAAAUAGUUUGCGACCUCGAUGUUGGAUUAGGAUCCUUUUUUAAUGAAGAAGUUAAAAAAAGAAGUUUGUUCAACUUUUAAAUUCCUACUUGAUC